UGGGGAAUAUUGGACAAUGGGCGCAAGCCUGAUCCAGCCAUGCCGCGUGAGUGAUGAAGGCCCUAGGGUUGUAAAGCUCUUUCACCGGUGAAGAUAAUGACGGUAACCGGAGAAGAAGCCCCGGCUAACUUCGUGCCAGCAGCCGCGGUAAUACGAAGGGGGCUAGCGUUGUUCGGAUUUACUGGGCGUAAAGCGCACGUAGGCGGACUAUUAAGUCAGGGGUGAAAUCCCGGGGCUCAACCCCGGAACUGCCUUUGAUACUGGUAGUCUUGAGUUCGAGAGAGGUGAGUGGAAUUCCGAGUGUAGAGGUGAAAUUCGUAGAUAUUCGGAGGAACACCAGUGGCGAAGGCGGCUCACUGGCUCGGUACUGACGCUGAGGUGCGAAAGCGUGGGGAGCAAACAGG
This 404-nucleotide ribosomal RNA is filed under the name Actinomycetes bacterium. RNAcentral's name for it is "Actinobacteria bacterium partial 16S ribosomal RNA". It matches the Rfam family "Bacterial small subunit ribosomal RNA", at positions 355 to 776 of the family's 1533-position model. Lineage: Bacteria; Bacillati; Actinomycetota; Actinomycetes. The record is from RNAcentral.